Cricetulus griseus (Chinese hamster) is the source of this 2587-nucleotide non-coding RNA. Lineage: Eukaryota; Metazoa; Chordata; Mammalia; Rodentia; Cricetidae. The record is from RefSeq and is a predicted model, not a curated record.
AGUGACGCAACGCACAUGCGCCUGACUGCAAGGCGAGCUCGGAACCGGCUGGUCGCGUGCGCUUCCGGAAGUGGCCGCGUCCUCAGCAUGCUGGCGGAGCUCGGUUUCAUCGGGACCAUCGGCGAAGAUGACGAGGUGCCGGCGGAGCCCGAGUCGGACUCCGGGGACGAGGAGGAGGAGGGGCCCAUUGUACUGGGCCGUAAGCAGAAAGCCUUGCAGAAGAACCGAAGUGCUGACUUCAACCCGGAUUUUGUUUUCACGGAGAAGGAGGGCAUGUAUGAUGGCAGCUGGGCCCUGGCUGAUGUCAUGAGCCAGCUCAAGAAGAAGAGGGCAGCCACAACCCUAGAUGAGAAGAUUGAGAAAGUACGGAAGAAAAGGAAAGCAGAGGAUAAGGAAGCCAAGUCUGGGAAGGUAGAGGAGAAAGAAGGCAGGGAGAGCUGUGAUCUGAAGGGGCAGGAGGAUCUGGGAGGGAAUGAGGCAGACUCCAAGGACGAAGACUCUGAGACUGACUACUCCUCUGGGGAUGAGGAGGUCCUCACUAAAGCAGACACACUGAAAGUGAAGGAGAAGAAGAAGAAGAAGAAGAAGAAGAAGGGCCAGGAAGCAGGAGGAUUCUUUGAAGAUGCCUCUGAGUAUGACAAAAGCCUCUCCUUCCAGGACAUGAAUCUGUCCCGGCCCCUCCUGAAGGCCAUUACAGCCAUGGGCUUCAAGCAGCCCACCCCAAUCCAGAAGGCUUGUAUCCCUGUGGGUCUGCUGGGAAAAGACAUCUGCGCCUGUGCAGCCACUGGGACAGGCAAAACUGCAGCUUUUGCGUUGCCUGUCUUGGAGCGUCUGAUCUACAAGCCCCGCCAGGCUGCAGUCACUCGAGUGCUGGUGCUGGUCCCUACCAGAGAGCUGGGCAUCCAGGUGCACUCCGUCACCAAGCAGCUGGCCCAGUUCUGCAGUGUCACUACAUGCCUGGCUGUGGGUGGCCUGGAUGUGAAGUCUCAGGAAGCUGCUCUUCGGGCAGCACCAGACAUCCUCAUUGCCACACCUGGCCGGCUCAUCGACCACCUGCACAACUGCCCUUCGUUCCACCUGAGCAGCAUUGAAGUGCUCAUCCUGGAUGAGGCUGACAGAAUGCUGGAUGAAUAUUUUGAGGAGCAGAUGAAGGAGAUUAUUCGAAUGUGUUCCCACCACCGCCAGACCAUGCUCUUUUCAGCCACCAUGACAGAUGAGGUGAAAGAUCUGGCUUCCGUCUCCUUAAAGAACCCUGUGCGGAUAUUUGUGAACAGCAACACAGACGUAGCUCCCUUUCUUCGGCAAGAGUUCAUACGGAUCCGGCCUAACAGGGAAGGGGACCGGGAAGCAAUUGUGGCAGCUUUACUGAUGAGAACCUUCACUGACCACGUGAUGCUGUUCACCCAGACCAAGAAGCAGGCUCACCGCAUGCACAUUCUGCUGGGGCUGCUGGGGCUGCAGGUGGGCGAGCUCCAUGGCAACUUGUCACAGACACAGCGGCUGGAGGCCCUCCGGCGCUUUAAGGAUGAACAGAUUGACAUCCUGGUGGCCACAGAUGUGGCAGCACGUGGGCUUGACAUUGAAGGAGUGAAAACAGUGAUCAACUUCACCAUGCCCAACACUGUCAAGCACUAUGUGCACCGGGUAGGGCGAACUGCACGUGCUGGCAGGGCUGGGCGCUCUGUCUCUCUGGUGGGAGAAGAGGAGCGGAAGAUGCUGAAGGAGAUUGUGAAGGCUGCCAAGGCUCCAGUGAAGGCACGGAUCAUCCCCCAGGACGUCAUCCUCAAAUUCCGGGACAAGAUUGAGAAAAUGGAGAAAGAUGUGUACGCAGUGCUGCGGCUAGAGGCAGAGGAAAAAGAGAUGCAGCAGUCAGAGGCCCAGAUAGACACAGCAAAGCGGCUCUUGGAGAAGGGGAAGGAGACAGCAGACCAGGAGCCUGAGAGGAGCUGGUUCCAGACCAAAGCAGAGAGGAAGAAGGAGAAGAUUGCCAAGGCUCUGCAGGAGUUUGAUUUGGCCUUGAGAGGAAAGAAGAAAAGAAAGAAGUUUAUGAAGGAUGCCAAGAAGAAGGGGGAGAUGACUGCAGAGGAGAGGUCCCAGUUUGAAAUCCUCAAGGCACAGAUGUUUGCAGAGCGGUUGGCCAAGAGAAACCGCAGAACCAAGCGAGCACGGGCAAUGCCCGAGGAAGAGCCUGCAGCAGGCCGUGCCAAGCAUCAAAAGCAGCAGAAGAAGUCUGUGUUUGAUGAAGAACUCACCAACACAAGCAAGAAGGCCCUGAAGAAGUACCGAGCUGGCCCUUCCUUUGAAGAGAGGAAACAGUUAGGUCUGUCCCGCCAGAGAAGAGGGAACUUCAAAUCCAAGUCCAGGUACAAGAGAAAGAAGUGACCCAGUGGCAUGGAGAACUUGAUGGGACAAUUUUAUAUCCCUUCCCCGUGGGAAGUCAUCUUGUCUUGGGAGCCAACCCUGGCUCUGAGGUGGCAGGGCAAAAGGCCUCGAGGUGCCAUCUUUUACAUCAUCCUGCGGAUCUCCUCGAAGUUCAUCAGAUUGUUGGCUGUGUCUGACCACGCGGGGUGCUGGGCGCCAUCCAUCU